CACUCACAGUCUUUCCUCACUGGAACGUAAGCUUCGUGAGAAAACGUCACGUGUCUACUUCGUUCGCCGCUGUGCUCCUCACACUGGCGCCUACAGCCUGUCUCAGUACGUACAGCCGUCCUCGGUAUCCACGUGGGACUGGUUCCAGGACACCUGGCACGGACACCAAAAUCCGAGGAUGCUCAAGUCCCUUAUAUAAAAUGCUGUAGUGUUUGCACCCACGGAUGUGGAACCUGUGGAUAUGGAGGGCUGACCGUACGUGCUGAAUGACUGCGUGAGCCCAAGGAAACGGCCAGGAGGCAGGCAGUGUCUGCAGGCAAAUCUCCAGGUCGUCAGGACCUGGGUCAAAAAGGAUCUUGCUGUGACUUAUGUCAUACAGUGUUCUGCCUAUGUUUUCCUCUAAGAGUUUGAUAGUGUCUGGCUGAACUGGGUUUUAAAUAGCUGAGAUACUUACUGUUCAAUAACAGACACUCAGAUACUUGUUGCCAUGUGGCGGAAGCUGGCAAACCAAACAGAAAAGUCUGAAGACACCGGAGAAGACUUUUCCAUUUUUCCUCAGAAAAAGAGCAGCAGCAGCAAGUCCCAGGUUUCCCUCUGAGUCAGGAUGAAACUAGCGGCUACAGACGAACGCUAGCGCGCCCUGUGUAAUGCGCUAUCGACACGUUACACAGAAAAUACUACUGCAAUAGGUAGGAUUCUGUAAAACAAGGAAGCGAAUAAACUAGGCACAGGAGAAAGAUGAAAAGAAAUUUAAGAAGAACCCUGAGGUUUCCUUAAGGUUG
Long non-coding RNA from Eubalaena glacialis (North Atlantic right whale), 782 nucleotides. RefSeq lists it as uncharacterized. The transcript has 3 exons. The record is from RefSeq and is a predicted model, not a curated record. NCBI's taxonomy places the organism in Eukaryota, Metazoa, Chordata, Mammalia, Artiodactyla, Balaenidae.